Molecule: long non-coding RNA, 4368 nt
Organism: Scylla paramamosain (green mud crab)
Lineage: Eukaryota; Metazoa; Arthropoda; Malacostraca; Decapoda; Portunidae
Exons: 2
Source: RefSeq, a predicted model, not a curated record
ACUGGCGGAGACGUCUCAGAACACCUAACUUCAUAGAAAAUGUUUUAGCUAGAUAUGAGAUGUGAAGUUUCCAGUUCAGAUUAUAAGUAAAGGACACACCAAGGAUGUUCAGUGUAGAAGAGGGGGACAGUUGAGUGUCAUUGAAGAAGAGGGGAUAGUUGUCGAGUUGAUAGAUGGAGGAAUUGAGUUUUUGAGACAUUGAACAAUACCAAGUUUGCUCUGCCCCAAUCAGAAAUUCUAGAAAGAUCAGAUGUCAAACGUUCUGUGGCUUCCCUGCGUGAAAUGUUUACCUUCUGAAGGGUUGGACGUCUAUGAAAAUACGUGGAAAAGUGCAGGGUGGUAUCAUCAGCGUAGGAGUGGAUAGGACAAAAAGUUUGGUUUAGAAGAUCAUUAAUGAAUAAUAAGAAGAGAGUGGGUGACAGGACAGAACCCUGAGGAACACCACUAUUAAUAGAUUUAGGAGAAAAACAAUGACCGUCUACCACAGCAGCAAUAGAACGGUCAGAAAGGAAACUUGAGAUGAAGUUACAGAGAGGAGGAUAGAAGCCGUAGGAGGGUAGUUUGGAAAUCAAAGCUUUGUGUCAGACUGUAUCAAAAGCUUUUGAUAUGUCCAAGGCAACAGCAAAAGUUUCACCAAAAUCUCUAAAAGAGGAUGACCAGGACUCAGUAAGGAAAGCCAGAUCACCAGUAGAGCGGCCUUGAUGAAACCCAUACUGGCGAUCAGGUAGAAGGGUGUGAAGUGAUAGAUGCUUAAGAAUCUUCUGUUGAGGAUAGAUUAAAAAAACUUUAGAUAGGCAGGAAAUUAAAGCAAUAGAACGGUUGUUUGAGGGAUUAGAACGGUCACCCUUUUUAGGAACAGGCUGAAUGUAGGCAAACUUCCAGCAAGAAGGAAAGGUAGAUGUUGACAGACAGAGCUGAAAGAGUUUGACUAGGCAAGGUGCAAGCACGGAGGCACAGUUUCGGAGAAUAAUAGGAAGGACCCCAUCUGGUCCAUAAGCCUUCCGAGGGUUUAGGCCAACAAGGGCAUGGAAAACAUCAUUGCGAAGAAUUCUAAUAGGUAGCAUGAAAUAGUCAGAGGAUGGAGGAGAAGGAGGAACAAGCCCAGAAUCGUCCAUGGUAGAGUUUUUAGCAAAGGUUUGAGCGAAGAGUUCAGCUUUAGAAAUAGAUGUGUUAGCAGUGGUGCCAUCUGGUUGAAAUAAAGGAGGGAAAGAAGAAGAAGCAAAGUUAUUGGAGAUAUUUUUGGCUAGAUGCCAGAAGUCACGAGGGGAGUUAGAUCUUGAAAGGUUUUGACACUUUCUGUUAAUGAAGCAGUUUUUGGCUAGUUGGAGAACAGACUUGGCAUGGUUCCGGGCAGAAAUAUAAAGUGCAUGAGAUUCUGGUGAUGGAAAGCUUAAGUACCUUUUGUGGGCCACCUCACUCACGAAUACAUGAAAGAUGUAUUUCAUUAAUUUGUAAAUAUCGCUACAGAUUCAUAUUUAGUUCCAAACUUAUUCAAUUACUUUAGCGUCCUUCCAUGCCAGGGAGAAAAGAGAGACUCAGCUGGAAGAUAUGUCGGUCCGCGUAACUUUUGUCAUUACUGCAAACUGUGGCUAGUUAGAUGGAACGUCUGCUUGUGCUAUGUCAAAAAUGAAAGUGGUGUAUUUUCCCUUGUUACAUUUCUGAUUAAGGUGAAUGUCAUAGUUUUGAUAUUAGAUGGCAAUGUCACUGAGGUGCUCAGGCAGCUAGAUGUACUUCAUAGUUAUUGCACAUAUACCUGAGGCGCAGCGGACGAGGGGUCCAAGUGCAGGAGUGACAUCUGGUGGUAGAUGCCUUUUGUGAGGCAUCUCAUUUACACUCCGUUUUAUCAAGGCAACGAUUGUUGUAUUAUGGAGUAUUCAAACAUGAUAAAGAAUGAAGACGUCUGUUGCCUAAUGAGAGCAGAGUUACACAGAAAAGCUCUCUCGCACAAUGUUUGGGAAAUGAUUUGUGAGAAAGUAAAAAGUGCAAAGAAGGCACGAAGAAAUCCUCUUCGUGUUUCACCGCUGCUGAAAAACUCCAACCGCUUUCAUAAUGGCAAUUUUAAUGCGGGAUUUACAGUAACUGAUUUUCUCUUACUAUCCCGCAGUGAACACGAAUGUUGUACGAGGCAGAUCUUAAAUGACGGAUUCGCAGUCACAGCAAUAUGAGCUUUGACACCCCCAAUCACGCAAGGCACUACAGUACUGCACUGGCGUGUGGAGGAUGUUUUGCUUACACGUGACGGAGAGACGGUUGGCUGGCCUCACGCUCCAUCAAGGAACGUGCUGAUUCAUCCAACCCAGUGAUUUAAUAUGUGUGUGUGUGUGUGUGUGUGUGUGUGUGUGUGUGUGUGUGUGUGUGUGUGUGUGUGUGUGUGUGUGUGUGUGUGUGUGUGUGUGUGUGUGUGUGUGUGUGUGUGUGUGUGUCAGGGGAUACACCUAAGGAAAAAAAAAAGAGAGAUAAAAAGCCCACUCACAAUGCCGUUUGUGAAAAGAAACAUGAGAAUAAACAGGAGGGAUGGGAAAUUUUACUUCUGAGGUGUCUAGAUACUCUUUUCAAAUGGUUCAAGUAGUAGGCAAGAUGACAAUAGACAAGAAUAGUCCUUGAGUUUACCAGUAAAAGGGAUGAAAAGACUGAAAAUACUGGUUGAAUCUUGCAUUAGAAAGGUGGACUGAAUAGGGGAUGAGAGUAAAUAAAAAAAAAGUUCAGCAAGGCGGCAAGAAUAUGGAUGACAUACGGUUAACAACGUAAUAAAAAUGACAUUAGAUAUUAAGAGAUGCAGUACUGUGGCGGUGAGUGAGAAAAUGAAGGGAAGGAAUCGUUGAAACGAAAGACUUUUGACACUUCUCUGUUUGUGAGGAGCAAGUUUUUAGACGAAUGAGGCUCCUGUAUACAGUAAACAAGUGGGAGGGGGGAAACUAUUGGUAGAGACGAUAGAAAAUACCCAACUUUAUGGAACUUACAUUACGCUCAUUGCGUAUAUUGCGUUUAUAGCGUCCAUUCAGCAUCACUGAACGUCUUUUGCGUUUCCUUAUUUUUUUUUUAUAAUCUAACCGAAGUUUGUACAAACCAUUCUUUUCAGUACUUCUAGCAACAUGAGGGCAUACAAAAGACAUCGGCAUCAAGGUAACACAACCUAUACUUGUAUUAAUCUGUGGAGUGGAUGUCAUCGACAUUGUUUAAAAAAUAGAAACUAUCAAAGUUCACACAGUUUUUGAAAUAUUACAAAAUGAUUUUGCUUCAUUACCAAAAUUACUGCAUGAUAAGAAUCUCAUUGGGAUGACUGAAUGAACAAUAAUCCUUCCUUUUUUAUAAGUCUAGAUUUCUUUUGUUGCAUAUCCAACAAUGAGCCAUUGUUUUUCAAAGAACAGAGGUAAACGGUGACAAGCAGGUCACUAUAAAAUGAGUGUCCGCCUUCUUUUCUCACAGUCGUCCCAGUAGCCGCGUCUUGGAGUGCCGAGGAAAACCAGGACAGCAGCCAUGAAACUUUUGGUAUCGAUGUGUCUGAUGUUAGUGGGAGUCACCGCCCAGUUUACGCCUACGGGUAUUAAGCAUCGUGACGGAACUUUCACGCAGUUCACUCCUGCGGAGGCUGCCAACGUUGUCGUCAUCGGGACGUCUGGCGUGGUCAUGCACGACGGAAAAAACUUUCAAUAUACCCUCGAAAUGGCUGCCAACCACAACAGUCUGCCCCUGCCGGCGUUCCUCUCUAGCAGCCAGAGAUAGGCGUUUGAAGAACCGUCAGUCGAAAGGGAAGCUGCUUCGGCUCUCUCGGGGCGUCAUUGUUCUCUUGGCUGGCCCCUCCGCAGGCAGACUCUACAACACCGAGGUCAUCCACUAUGAACACUACUUUUUUUUAUCGUCGUCGCUGUCAGGAAGCUGCUAGAACAUGUGGCUAGUGAAACAUCUUAUUACUUCAAAUGACAAUCGUGCCCUCAGGGAGGCUCAGGUGACCAUAAUAAAGCGUUUGAUGACGCGUUUGGCUGACUAGACUCAACUCUGACGAAUUGGACUUUUUUAUCAUCAACUGAUAGACGUCUUUUUGGACAAAAGAUAACAGACUUUCAAUAAGUGCAAAUGUAUGUCGAUAUAACACAUACAAAUGUAAGCUAAGGUUAGAUAAUCAAAUUUUGAAAUACUAGGGAUUUGUAAAAUGUCAUCAUGAACGGGCUCUGCCAUGAUGAUAUAGGCUAUUACAUAAAUAUGACUUAUAAUCACUACUGGCAAUGAAAUUUAUUGCAUUAUUAUAAUAUUGAAUUUAUUGUGCAUAGCUUGAAAUUAAUUUAAAAACUGCGUGUAUGACCAGCGGUGUAACAAAAUUUAUUUACAUAAAUAUCAUUAAAUUCUGUGAAAUAAAUCCAAAUUUGUAUC